RNAcentral lists this long non-coding RNA (1676 nucleotides) under Gossypium barbadense (sea-island cotton). Its description in RNAcentral is "long non-coding RNA (GBAR_LNC001131)". The record is from RNAcentral. Lineage: Eukaryota; Viridiplantae; Streptophyta; Magnoliopsida; Malvales; Malvaceae.
GUAAAUAGAAAUAAUAGUAUAUUAAUAAUAAUAUAUGUUAAUAAUGAUAAUAAUAGAAAAUAAUAAAAAUAAUAAAAUAAAAAACUAUGUCAAUAAGGAUAAUAGAAAUAACAGUAAUAAAAAAAAAAUAAUAAAUAUAAUAAUAGAAAACAAUAAUGAAAAUAAUUAAUUUGAGAAUAAAACAGCAAAAUAAUGAAAAAGGGACUAAAUUGAACUUAAAGUAAAAGAUCGGGGCCAAUUCGGAAUAAAAAUACAAAGGAAAUGACCAAUUUGGGCGCGGGGAUAACAAGGGAAGACCAAAAUGGGCAAUAUCCCAUCCUCCCAAAACGCACAGCACCAAGAGGGACCAAAUCACAAACCAAAAAAAAUUACAAGGUAAAAUUAAAAUUUAAAAGAAACUCGAUUCCAAAACAAUAAAAUGCAGAGGGACUAUUCACGAAAAUAUCCCCUUUUUCAAAAAAAAAGCAGAUCCUGCUGGCGGGUCAGGUCAACGCGCGGGUCAUGAGGCAAAACGAUGUCGUUUUGACAUUAAGAGGGCUGAAUAAAACGGCGUCAUUUCGAGUGGCUAUUUAAAUCAGUUUUUUUUAAAAAAAUUCAUUCUUUCUCCUCUUUUAAAAAAAAACCCUCUUCCCCUUUUUUUUCUCUAUAGAGGCCCUUAGUCCGGCGAAGGUUCCGUACGUCGGCCGUCGCGUCGACCACCGUUCGCCGCCGCCGGCGCCGCCGUAUGCGGCGGGGAAAAUGUCGAAAAUUGCCCCUUUUUCAGCAAGAUCGAAGGUAAGUCCCCUUUUUUCCUUUUUUACACUUUUUAUAUAUGUGUGUAUAUAUAUAUAUUUAUAUAAAAAAGAUUCAAAAGAAGGAAAGAAAAAAAUAAAGAAGAUGGAAAAGAACCUUUCUCACACUGUUUUUUGAUCUUCUUUUGUGGUUUUCUGGUUUGUCUGUUUGGAUCUAUUUUGGAUUGUAUUAAUCUCUCUUUUUUUGUUCUAUUUCAUGUUCCAAAAAAUUACAUUCGGUUUUCUUGGCUUUUAUAGCCAUUUACAAAAAUAUUAAAAAUACAUGCUUGUCACUUUCGUUUUAACUCUUGCAGGUGCAAGUGGAGGAGCAGGUGGCGGUUGUUGUGACCAUGGCAGACCCGGGCAGGUGGUGGUGGCAGAUGGACAGAAGGUUGGGGCGGCACACCUAGGGGCUAGGGUUUCUUGGAGGAGUUUAGGAUAGUGGGCUAGGGUUAGGUUAGGUUUGGGUUUAGUUUAGUGGGUAUUGGCCUGGUUUGUAUCUGGGCCAAAAUUGGGCCUCAACAUACAUAAAAUAUCUUUUUUUUUUAUAAAUUUUAAAAUAUAUAAUUAUAAACUUUUAAAAGUCAAAAUAAUAAAUAAUAAAUAAAAAUUAAAAAUAUUAUAAAAUUUAAAUACCUUAGAAGAAAUUUCCUGCAAGACAAAGACAGAAGAAUCAAAAAAUUAACGGUAAGAUUUCUUGUACAAAGAAAAAGCUCUCUACAGAUCAAAAAACGGAGAUUAAAAUUAAGUAUUCUCUGCUAAAAAAAAAGUAAAAACAGUGUAUAUUUUCUACAGAAAUAAUAGUCUGAAAAAACUCUCAUUUUGUAAAGAAAAGCAGAAUUUUCAAUACAGAAACCAAAACUUAAUCAAAAUUAAUUUACUUUUAAUUUUUUUCAUCUUUUGAAG